Molecule: ribosomal RNA, 387 nt
Filed under: uncultured bacterium
Lineage: Bacteria
Description: bacterial SSU rRNA
Rfam family: Bacterial small subunit ribosomal RNA
Source: RNAcentral
CCGGGUUUGACAUGCAGGUAGUAGGGAACUGAAAGGGGACCGACCCUUCGGGGAGCCUGCACAGGUGCUGCAUGGCUGUCGUCAGCUCGUGUCGUGAGAUGUCCGGUUAAGUCCGGUAACGAGCGCAACCCACGUCGUAUGUUACAAGUGUCAUACGAUACUGCCGGUAUAAAGCCGGAGGAAGGUGUGGAUGACGUCAAGUCAGCAUGGCCUUUAUGUCCGGGGCUACACACACGCUACAAUGGCCAGUACAAUAGGUAGCAAAUCUGCGAAGAAGAGCCAAUCCUGAAAGCUGGUCACAGUUCAGAUUGUAGGCUGCAACUCGCCUACAUGAAGUUGGAGUUGCUAGUAACCGCGCGUCAGCAUUAGUGCGGUGAAUGCGUUCCC